This 446-nucleotide long non-coding RNA is filed under the name Homo sapiens (human). Its description in RNAcentral is "non-protein coding LINC01778:22". Lineage: Eukaryota; Metazoa; Chordata; Mammalia; Primates; Hominidae. The record is from RNAcentral.
GGAGGAAGCUCCGGGCGGGAGAGCCGCGUCCACUCCUCUUUCCAGACUAUGAUGGGGCCCAGGGACCCCUCCCCUCCGACUGAGCCCCAUAGACCCCCUACUCAGGCCAGAAGGGGAAAGCUGAGCUCCUGCUGGCCCAGGCAUCAGAAUUCCUCAGGGAGGAAAAGUUGCCUAUCUGUUGGGUCAGAUUUCUGAAGACUGAUGAGGCCCAUUUUCUGACAAACGGCAAGAGUUUAGAAAGUACCAGUGACGUGCCUGAUAGAAUCUCACCACAAGAUGGAAGCCAACUCGUCAGAAGCCUGGAAAGCCCACCCAGCGUGGGACCUCUGUGGGUCCAGGAUCUUGGAAUGGUAUCCCAUGGUUCAAUCUUCUGGAUUCAACCACAUAAAUUUACCCCACCCAUGUCGUGGACCCAAGCUUCCUACCAUGUAUACUUAGCUUAAAUG